CUUGGGUAUAGCAGCAUACCUGUAGUCCCAGCUAAUGGGUAACUGAGGCAGGAAUAUUGCUUGGGCCCAGAAGUUUGGUACUGUAAUGCCCUUUGCUGAUGGGAUGUCCACACUAAAUUCAGCAUGAGGAGGAACGAGCUCAGAGAUGGAGCAGGUCAAAACUCAUAUUCUGAUCAGUACUGGGAUCACACCUGUGAAUAACCACUGCACCCCAGUCUGGGAAACAUAGCAAGACCCUAUCUUUU
This 245-nucleotide signal recognition particle RNA is filed under the name Sciurus vulgaris (Eurasian red squirrel). RNAcentral's name for it is "Metazoan signal recognition particle RNA (ENSSVLG00005006771.1)". It matches the Rfam family "Metazoan signal recognition particle RNA". From Rfam's summary of the family: The signal recognition particle (SRP) is a universally conserved ribonucleoprotein. The record is from Rfam by way of RNAcentral. Lineage: Eukaryota; Metazoa; Chordata; Mammalia; Rodentia; Sciuridae.